UCUCUUAGUUAAAAAUGAUAAAAUUGUUCGAAAAUUAGAAAAAAAAAUUUCAAUUCAUAUUUAAAUUUACCGCCUUUUUUGUUAUCGAAAUAUCGAUUAUCGACUUUGUUUUGUAUCGAUUUGGUGGCGCUUCCGCCGGUGCGGAAGUUCCGCUGCCACUUUUCCCGCGGAUUCCCUGAGUAGCAGUUCGAUGUAUAAUCAUCUUUGAUAAAAGUUCUUAAAAUUCAAUUAAAUAAGUAUAUUUAUUAAUCCGAAAUCAUCAGAACAGUCAUAUUAUCAUAUUCCGGGACUAAAUAAUGUGUAUUUUCCAAGUAAAAGGAGAUAUGGAGGAGAUAAGUCAGUCUAUAAAAUCGAAAGAUUUUUUCAGUAGUUCCAGAAGGUUUUGGUCAGACGAGUUGCUAUACGUAGAGAAGACUUUUUCCAGACGCUAAAUGCGUUCAUUCAAUGAAGGAUGCGAGUUUGUUGCGGAGCAGCUCCUGGAGGAGAUCUUGCAUGGCUGAGCGCGGUUCAAUUCAGUUUGGUCCAGUAGCAGAAAGUUUUAUAAAGAGAGGAAAAGCUGUCAUCGUAUCUGUAUAUCACGAAAAAAAAAACUAAAAGUGUAUUGGUCCAGUAGAGGAAAGAUUUAUCUGUUCAAAGAGAGGGUUAGCUGUCAUCGUAUCUGUAUAUCACAAAAAAGAAAUUAAAAGUGUUCCAUAAAGAUAGAAAGGAAGGAAGGAUGUGGACGAAGAAAAGUAGCCCCUGCGUGCUAUCGUAUUUUUUCCAAAAUGUAGUCUAUUUUUUUAUUUUUAUUUUUUGACGAUAGCAUACCCCUCGACCUGUGCAGAAGUGCAUGAAGAGACAGGGAUCUCGAGGGUGGUCCAAGAAGAAGCCAAGGUAGGGGCAAUGUUAUCAUUGCUUCAACGUGGGAUCGCCGAUCGAUGAGUCAUUCUUUAAUUUAAUCACUUCCCUGUUUUGAAAUAGUUAAUUUUCUUAAUAUAAAACAAAUUACAAUAAAAUAAUUUAUAAAUUAAUUUUUUAUUUGUAAAUUAUAAAUUAUUAUUAUAAAUUUAUAAAUUAAAAAUUAAUUUUUGUUCUAUUAAUUUAUAAAU
Molecule: long non-coding RNA, 1088 nt
Organism: Leptopilina boulardi
Lineage: Eukaryota; Metazoa; Arthropoda; Insecta; Hymenoptera; Figitidae
Exons: 6
Source: RefSeq, a predicted model, not a curated record